Gavialis gangeticus (Gharial) is the source of this 378-nucleotide long non-coding RNA. RefSeq lists it as uncharacterized. Lineage: Eukaryota; Metazoa; Chordata; Crocodylia; Gavialidae. The transcript has 4 exons. The record is from RefSeq and is a predicted model, not a curated record.
AGAGCCUGCUCCCUUUCAGUCACUUUCUGAUUGGGCCUUACAGAUUGUUUCUAUGAGGCAAAAAACACAAGAGGUCCUGAAGCACACUGCUGUUUUAACUCAGAAAUCAUUGAAACUAGAAAAAGAAGCAGAUGAGCUAGAAAUGAAAAUUAAUUAUUUGAAACAGCCAUUUGAAAGGACUACUGAAAAUCAAAACCAUUCUGAAAUAACUGAUGGAAAAUAUAAAAGAAAUCUAGAACAAAGGAAGGAGUUUAAGGAAAGGGGGUUUGAAGAGAAUGAAAAUCCAUAUUUAGUACAUGAGCAGCAGCAGCAGCCAUUACAUCUUCCUUCCAUUCCUCAGAAAUUUGUCCAAUCUAUAAGGACUUUUAGACAAUCUCU